This is a long non-coding RNA of Oxyura jamaicensis (ruddy duck), 153 nucleotides long. RefSeq lists it as uncharacterized. The record is from RefSeq and is a predicted model, not a curated record. The transcript has 3 exons. NCBI's taxonomy places the organism in Eukaryota, Metazoa, Chordata, Aves, Anseriformes, Anatidae.
CACCAGUGCCUCCCGCGGUGCUUUCGAUCCCAUGCUGGCGUAUUCUUGCACUUAUAGAAGUCUGCUGGAAGUUUCUCUCCCAGCAGUAAGGCUUUUAAGCAGUGUUUAGAUAUAUGCAAUUGGACCCAGUAGAGAGAAAACUGUCUCCUCUAC